GAUGAAGAACGUAGCGAAAUGCGAUAAGUAAUGUGAAUUGCAGAAUUCAGUGAAUCAUCGAAUCUUUGAACGCACCUUGCGCUCUUUGGUAUUCCGAAGAGCAUGCCUGUUUGAGUGUCAUGAAAAUAUCAACCUUGACUUGGGUUUUGUGCUCUAGUCUCGGCUUGGAAUUGGGUGCUUGCCGCUUUUACGAGCGGCUCACCUUAAAUGUAUUAGCUGGAUCUGUCUUUGAGACUUGGUUUGACUUGGCGUAAUAAGUAUUUCGCUAAGGACAUUCUUCGGAGUGGCCUCGUUUCUAGGACGCUUGUCCGCUUUCCAAUACAAGUUCCACCUCGUGGGCAUGACUUUUUAUUAUCUGGCCUCAAAUCAGGUAGGACUACCCGCUGAACUUAAGCAUAUCAAUAAGCGGAGGA
This 413-nucleotide unclassified non-coding RNA is filed under the name soil metagenome. Its description in RNAcentral is "partial contains 5.8S ribosomal RNA, internal transcribed spacer 2, and large subunit ribosomal RNA". The stretch from base 1 to 120 matches the Rfam family "5.8S ribosomal RNA", at positions 35 to 154 of the family's 154-position model. The record is from RNAcentral.